AACGCACAUUGCGCUCGCUAGUAUUCUGGCGAGCAUGCCUGUUCGAGCGUCAUUUCAACCCCUCAAGCCUCUUUAUUUUAUUAUAAAAAGCUUGGUGUUAGGCCCUAUAAAUUUCUUUUAAUAAAAGAAAUUUAUAGACCUGAAAUCCAUCGGCGAACCCCUCUGCGAGGCCGAGCGUAGUAGAUUUCUCUCGCUAUGACUUCCAGUGGUGGACCUGCCCCAUCUUAAUUUUAUAUAAAAGGUUGACCUCGAAUCAGGUAGGAAUACCCGCUGAACUUAAG
This 281-nucleotide unclassified non-coding RNA is filed under the name uncultured fungus. Its description in RNAcentral is "sequence contains ITS2". The record is from RNAcentral. Lineage: Eukaryota; Fungi.